GGACUACUGGGGUAUCUAAUCCUGUUUGCUCCCCACGCUUUCGUGCCUGAGCGUCAAUCUCAGCCCAGGGGGCUGCCUUCGCCAUCGGUGUUCCUCCACAUCUCUACGCAUUUCACUGCUACACGUGGAAUUCCACCCCCCUCUGCCAGAUUCAAGUCCUGUAGUUUCAACCGCCAUUCCCAGGUUAAGCCCGGGGCUUUCACAGCUGACUUUCAGAACCGCCUACGCACGCUUUACGCCCAGUAAUUCCGAUUAACGCUCGCACCCUACGUAUUACCGCGGCUGCUGGCAC
Molecule: ribosomal RNA, 292 nt
Filed under: uncultured bacterium
Lineage: Bacteria
Description: partial 16S ribosomal RNA
Source: RNAcentral